Long non-coding RNA from Scleropages formosus (Asian bonytongue), 1560 nucleotides. The record is from Ensembl. NCBI's taxonomy places the organism in Eukaryota, Metazoa, Chordata, Actinopteri, Osteoglossiformes, Osteoglossidae.
CUGGGAAUGAUUUGUAUCGCAUAAAAUCAUACAAUAUUAUUAUAUAUACUGUAAAUAUCAGUGUUAAUAUUUGUUAGUACAGAGUACUAUCUUUAAUAUUAAAAGUAAUUUUGGUAGAGAAAAAGAAAAGAAAAAAGAAAGUUUGGGUUCUGCGCCGCGCAUCUUUCUCUCUUUGUCUCUCCAACGAGCCUGUAGCGUCCGGACGGGAGUCCGACACGGACGCGCGUUGCUAUUACGUCCAAACACAGACGAAAUAUAUAAUGACUUCACGUGCAGUGUGAGGUUAGAAGUGUACGGUGAGUAUUGUAAGACACUCGGUGGAAGUGAAACAAGAAACACGAGACCAGGAAACACACACGGUGUUGGAACUACGGUGAACAGUGAAACGCUAAUCUGUGAGUAUGACCGAAACCCUGAGACGUGACGAAAUACCGGACAGGAACGAUGGACCAGGACUGAAGAACAAGAGGCAGGAACGGACGGGACGGGCACUCGGGACUGGAACAUGCACACCUAGGAAACAGACUGAGGGAACAAGAGACUACCAAUCUCCAAGGAAGCACAAGAGAACUGCUGAUUAAGAAUCCGCGACUAGUUCUGCUCCGCUGGCUCCUUUUAUACCUCCAUGUCCUACGAGACUGUGAGGUGAUAGAAGUUCCGCAGACGCGCCGAAACCUACGAAACUCCCACGCACGCGCCCUCCCGCUGAUUGGCUACGACGCGUGCCUAAGCCACGCCCACACGGAAGCCACGCCGCUGAUUGGCUGCAGACACCAAGCCUCAUUUGGAGCGAUUCCCAGUAGCGCAGGCAUCAUACAAGCGGUCGUCUGCUCUAUCUCAUGGGGCCCCACAGAAAAAUGCCUUUCACACCCCUCAAUCAGCGCAGGGGUCUCAGGGCAAACUUCAGGGGUGGAAAGGUGCCGAAGGCCACAGGUCCUGGACCCCUGGGCCGCCACAGUGGUACUCGAGUCCUGUGUCGCGAAUCGGGGAGCUCCCAGAUACAGUCCCUUCUGUAGCACUGAAUGGUCGCCUUGGUCACAGAGAGACCCCCACAGACCCAGAGAUACUCCCUACUGUUCACCACCUUGGCCACAGAGAGACCCCGCACCGUUCAUCUGGAUCACAGAGACGCCACCACAGACCUCAAGAUUCCCCAUAUCAGUCACUGAACGCAUAUGCGACCCCCAGGUCCACUUCUCUCUCCGCGGGCACGUGGAGGCGCUCCAGGCCGGAUAUCUGCUCAUAUUACAAGGCGUCCAUGCUGGAGGACCCUUGGGCUGAGCUCCAGCUCCAACAAGCCCGGACCAAGAGCUCGGCCGAGUCCGCUGUCUCAGAGCGAUUAGGACCGCUCCUCCUGCCGGCAGCUUGGGAGGGGAUGUGGAUGUCACAUCGCUGGACGUGGCGACGACUCGAACUGAAGAAAUGCUAGUCCCAAGGUUUAUAGGUUUCAGAAAUAUCUUUGUUACAUAAUAUUGCCUAAUGUUUUACACAAUACCAUACACUGAUGUAAUCUGUCUAAUUGUCAAUAAAUUGUAAAGCCCAGUGGAGGAUAGUGCCUUG